GUGAGGAAUAUUGAGCAAUGGGCGCAAGCCUGACUCAGCAACGCCGCGUGGAUGAUGACGGCCUUCGGGUUGUAAAAUCCUUUUCUGGGGGAAGAUGAUGACGGUACCCCAGGAAUAAGUUCCGGCUAACUACGUGCCAGCAGCCGCGGUAAAACGUAGGGGACAAGCGUUAUCCGGAUUUACUGGGCGUAAAGCGCAUGUAGGUGGCCCGGAAAGUUGGACGUGAAAGCUCCCGGCUUAACUGGGAGAGGUCGUUCAAAACUUCCGGGCUUGAGGUUGAAAUAGGAGAGCAGAAUUCCCGGUGUAGUGGUGGAAUGCGUAGAUAUCGGGAGGAAUACCAGUGGCGAAAGCGGCUCUCUGGUUCAAGUCUGACACUGAGAUGCGAAAGCGUGGGGAGCGAACGGGAUUAGAAACCCGUGUAGUCC
This 425-nucleotide ribosomal RNA is filed under the name uncultured bacterium. Its description in RNAcentral is "bacterial SSU rRNA". It matches the Rfam family "Bacterial small subunit ribosomal RNA", at positions 354 to 796 of the family's 1533-position model. The record is from RNAcentral.